ACUGUCCCGAAACCUUUCGUGUUGAUUCAGGUUGAGAAGCCUGAGAGUUGAAAUCGAUUGCUCUAGAUCCAGCUUGAGACGCUGAAAGUUGAAAUCGAUUGCUCUGGAGCCAAUUUGAGACGCCGAGAGCUGAAAAAGAUUGCUCUCCAUCCAGUAUGAGCUGUUGAGAGCUGAAAUAGAUUGCUCUGGAGCCCCAUGGAAACCAGCUUUGCCAGAUUGAGGCACAUCUUCAGAAAGAAUCCUUCAAAUUUGUGUGGUUCCCACCUCCAGACACCAUCUGUUCGCUGAGCUGCGGUUGGAAUAGCCCUGUGACCAAGGUGACCUCCUAUAAAUGGGAAGAUCCAGAGAGGUACCAGGAGGUCUAAGGCUAAGAUACAGGCACUUUUUCAGUGCUUGGAGUCCAUCUGAAGCAAAACACAGACGUCAUAAAGG
Molecule: long non-coding RNA, 432 nt
Organism: Mus musculus (house mouse)
Lineage: Eukaryota; Metazoa; Chordata; Mammalia; Rodentia; Muridae
Product: RIKEN cDNA 4930422I22 gene
Exons: 3
Source: RefSeq, a predicted model, not a curated record